Molecule: long non-coding RNA, 588 nt
Organism: Nilaparvata lugens (brown planthopper)
Lineage: Eukaryota; Metazoa; Arthropoda; Insecta; Hemiptera; Delphacidae
Exons: 2
Source: RefSeq, a predicted model, not a curated record
UUUUUUUUAGGGAGAAUUUUCUCCUAUCUCUUUAAAAAUGUAAAAAGUAAAUAUCUUAAUUAAUUACUAAAUGAAAAUGGUAGUCAGUCUGUGAAAGUUUCCUCCUUUUUUAGUUUUCUUCAUAUGUUAAAAUACCACAGUCAUUAGUAAAACAGAAAUGUAAAAUCUUCAAAUUUGCGACCAAAUCUGCUUUAAAAAGGGGUCCCAGCUUUACCACUACCAGAAUUUCAACUACAGGCCAUCCAGACUUCAACUUUAGAUCAACUGCCUUCCUGGUUCCUAUAGCUCUAAAUUCACAUGAGAGCUCCGUUUCAAGUCACCUACAAUUCGCCACCUGGAUUAUGAGCAAAUUACAAGAAGGAUUAGUAAUCCAGCAGAUCCAGCCCAAAAUCAGAAGAAGAUAGGGAUUUCUGGGGGAAGUUAAUUUGUGCGCAAAAUGAAAUAAUACAUGAAAAUUAUAUGAGUGUGAAAAGUUUCAAAUGAAUACAUCGAUAAUCUAAAAUAAAUACAAGUGUUUGGGGCCCCUCACUUCUGCGAUAUGUACAUACAGGUAUUUGUAGAAUUUAAUAUUUAUUAAUUUUUGAAAUU